CCCACUGCUAUUUGGGUGAGAAUAAGCCAUGCGAGUUGAAUGGGAUACCUAAAUUUUCCAUAGCAAACUGCUCAGUAACACAUGAUCAACUUACCCUAUAGAGAAAAAUAACCUCGGGAAACUGAGGAUAAUGUUUCAUAGUUGAAAAGGCUUGGAAAAGUUUUUCAAUUAAAAGGAUAAAAAAAAUGGUUUUUAUCCGCUAUAGGAUAGGAUCGUGGUUGAUUAUGGUUGUUGGUGAGGUAAUGGCUCACCAAGCCGAUAAUCGAUAGGGGCCGUGAGAGCGGGAGCCCCGAGAUGGGUACUGAGACAACGACCCAGGCCUUACGAGGCGCAGCAGGCGCGAAACCUCCGCAAUACACGAAAGUGUGACGGGGUUACCCAAAGUGUUCAGUUUUGAACUGUGGUAGGUGAGUAAUGUCCCCUACUAGAAAGGAGAGGGCAAGGCUGGUGCCAGCCGCCGCGGUAAAACCAGCUCUUCAAGUGGUCGGGAUAAUUAUUGGGCUUAAAGUGUCCGUAGCCGGUUUAGUAAGUUCCUGGUAAAAUCGGGUAGCUUAACUAUCUGUAUGCUAGGAAUACUGCUAAACUAGAGGGCGGGAGAGGUCUGAGGUACUACAGGGGUAGGGGUGAAAUCUUAUAAUCCUUGUAGGACCACCAGUGGCGAAGGCGUCAGACUGGAACGUGCCUGACGGUGAGGGACGAAAGCCAGGGGAGCGAACCGGAUUAGAUACCCGGGUAGUCCUGGCCGUAAACGAUGCAUACUAGGUGAUGGCAUGGCCAUGAGCCGUGUCAGUGCCGUAGGGAAACUGUUAAGUAUGCCGCCUGGGAAGUACGGUCGCAAGGCUAAAACUUAAAGGAAUUGGCGGGGGAGCACCACAAGGGGUGAAGCCUGCGGUUC
This 895-nucleotide ribosomal RNA is filed under the name uncultured archaeon. Its description in RNAcentral is "bacterial SSU rRNA". It matches the Rfam family "Archaeal small subunit ribosomal RNA", at positions 23 to 903 of the family's 1478-position model. The record is from RNAcentral.